Molecule: ribosomal RNA, 720 nt
Filed under: uncultured Bacilli bacterium
Lineage: Bacteria; Bacillati; Bacillota; Bacilli
Description: bacterial SSU rRNA
Rfam family: Bacterial small subunit ribosomal RNA
Source: RNAcentral
CGAACGCUGGCGGCGUGCGUAAUACAUGCAAGUAGAACGCUGAAGAGAGGAGCUUGCUCUUCUUGGAUGAGUUGCGAACGGGUGAGUAACGCGUAGGUAACCUGCCUUGUAGCGGGGGAUAACUAUUGGAAACGAUAGCUAAUACCGCAUAACAAUGGGUGACUCAUGUCAUUUAUUUGAAAGGGGCAAAUGCUCCACUACAAGAUGGACCUGCGUUGUAUUAGCUAGUAGGUGAGGUAACGGCUCACCUAGGCGACGAUACAUAGCCGACCUGAGAGGGUGAUCGGCCACACUGGGACUGAGACACGGCCCAGACUCCUACGGGAGGCAGCAGUAGGGAAUCUUCGGCAAUGGGGGCAACCCUGACCGAGCAACGCCGCGUGAGUGAAGAAGGUUUUCGGAUCGUAAAGCUCUGUUGUAAGUCAAGAACGAGUGUGAGAGUGGAAAGUUCACACUGUGACGGUAGCUUACCAGAAAGGGACGGCUAACUACGUGCCAGCAGCCGCGGUAAUACGUAGGUCCCGAGCGUUGUCCGGAUUUAUUGGGCGUAAAGCGAGCGCAGGCGGUUUGAUAAGUCUGAAGUUAAAGGCUGUGGCUCAACCAUAGUUCGCUUUGGAAACUGUCAAACUUGAGUGCAGAAGGGGAGAGUGGAAUUCCAUGUGUAGCGGUGAAAUGCGUAGAUAUAUGGAGGAACACCGGUGGCGAAAGCGGCUCUCUGGU